Non-coding RNA from Paramuricea clavata, 1098 nucleotides. Lineage: Eukaryota; Metazoa; Cnidaria; Anthozoa; Malacalcyonacea; Plexauridae. The record is from the annotation of a GenBank genome assembly.
GCGCAGUACAAGAGAAACGAACACGUUUUGAGAAUCGAACCAAAGUUGACGUUUUAUAAAAUUUUCCUAUUUUUAUUUGUAUUAUUGGUGAAUACAUUUUCUACUUUUAUAGUAUUUGUACAUUAAAAACAAACACCGACCAAUUUCAAAACUUUAUAAUAGUAAAAUUUAACUAUUGAUGUAUUAUAUAGAUUGAGGUAAUUAUCUUUCAUUUUAACCGUGUAAUUCAGUUCCUAUAUUGAUAACUAUAUAAUUAUAUGUAAAUAAGACUUUCCUAUAUUUAAUAAAUCAGUGUGAGAACAACAUAUAUCAAUUUAACAGUUCUGUUUGUGGAAACACCACGUAAAUUUAUUACUGCAAUGGUGAUAAAUAAUAAAUUAUAAUAAAGUAGUAAUAAAUUUACGUGGUGUUUCCACAAACAAAACUAUUAUAUUUUAUCGCCAUGCAAACAUACAAAGAACUUAUAUAUCAAUUUCAUGGCAAAAAACAAAAAACCGCUUGCAGCAAAGCUCUGAAGUGACCCCAUAUGAUUCCCAAACCUUUGUUUACAAAUUGCAUCUGAUGACGCGUUUUACGCAUUGUGAUUGACUUGGAGCAAAAAUGUAAACAAAAGCGCUGAUUGGUCGAGAACAAAAUUCCAUCUUGUUGUCUGUUUUCAAUUGCUCAAAAUACGUCAAAUUUCAUUGAAUCCCGGAUAAAAUAAAAUAAUAUUUAUAAGGGGCAAUAAAUAAUAUUAUGUUGACAAAUAAUAGUAAUUCUUUGUUUUAUUAUUCAGCGAUUGGGUAAAACGCGGAUAUGAUGUUUAAAACAUAUUUCAGAGAAAAAUAGGUCAUCUAGAUCUAUCCGUUCGUCCGUCCGUAUCAGCGUUUUUAUUAUUGUGACUCUGUCCACAUAUGCAAUUUGUAAUCUAGGUAAAUUUCUUUUUCGGAAAAGUAAAUGUAAUUUUUACUUAUUACUUUAAUAGAGUAAUUUUUACAACACUGGUCACAAUCAGGGCCACGCAUAUUUUCUGUCAUGAUCGUGACAGACAUUGAUCAUGAUGAGCCCAAAAUUACACUUACCCGUAACUAUUUUAAAUGAUAAAUUUACUAAUAAUAU